CGGAGGCGAGUAUUAUGCUUUCUCUUUCUUUUAUUAUUCUCCUCAGCAGCAAGAAUUUAACUUGAAAGAGAAUAAAAACGAAAUAACAUAAGUAAUCUGCCUAGUAACAGGGCAGCCAAUCAUAUACAUUUAUCAACAUUAAGUGUCUUGAACAGUCUUCUAACUUCCUCUUUCUUGUCUGUGUCGACGAAGAGCCGUCGUAACUUUCCAUAACUUCCGGUAUUCCACCCAGUCCGUGUCCAGUACGUUACGCUGUGGAAACAAAGAGAAUGUACGAUAAAAUCCAAACUUUGGAACUGUAUGUUAUCCUUAUUCCUUAUGUUCCUUACAAUUGAUAUAACAAACUGAUAAAAACAAGUUAUGUGUGUACAUAAAAAGGAUGGUGUACAUGCCCUUGAAAUUCCUUGUUACUUACCUUUGCGAGAGUCUUAAGACUCUCCUUAUAGACUGUCUCACGCCCACCGGGUGGGUGGGUGGGGAUAAUACUCGCCUCCGUGUCAUUAAUAAAAUCAUGACUUUACGUCAUGUUACUAGUAAAAUCUUGGAAUUUUAUUAAUGACACGGAGGCUCAUAUUAUGCUAGUUCAAAGCCUGGCCACUACCUGAAGAGAGAUAUGUUCAAUUGGCCGAAAAUAGAAUUCUCUGAACGUCGAUACUUGUGACCAAUCAGCGGCCUUUAAUAUGUCCUCGAGGCGACAACCAAUCGUUGACGCCUUGGAUGCCAUCGCGCCUCUCACCGAAUGUGCGGAGAAUUUCGAAGUGUCAAUUCCUGUUAAUGCUAACAGGUUCUUGACCCAACGAACUAACGUGGGCGUGGACACUGGUAGAAAAGGGGUUCGAAAGGAUAUAAAUAAUUGACUUGAUGCAGGUGAGCGUAACUUCUGAGUACGAUCCAGGUAGGACCGAAGGCAUCUGACCGGACAAAGUGAGGGAUGUCCCAGGUAUCUCGGGUAAGAGAUAGAUUUUGUAUUGCCUUUAGUUCGUCUCGAUAUGGAGAAUGACACUCCCUCUGGGGUGAAUGAUAAUGCGUCCCAGUCCAAGGCUCGCACGUCCGAUAUCCUCUUGCAGGACAGUAAGCAUAACAGAGUCAGCAGUUUCCAAGACAGGUGUUUAAGGGAGAGUUCCUCAUUUGGCCUCCAUUCUUCCAAGAAGUGUAAGACAAUGUUGACAUCCCAGAAUGAAGAAUAGCGGGUCUGUGGAGGUUUCUCAAAGCGUAUCCCCUUCAGGAGUCUACAAACGAAAGGAUGCUGACCGAUCGGGGAGCCCUCCAGGUUUCGGUGUCCUGCCGAGAUCGCCGACCUGUACACGUUAAUGGUACUCUUCCUUCUUCGAAAAGGGACGUCAAAAACUCCAGUACUUCUUUCAGAGGUGCUGAAACCGGAUCCACUGACCGUUCCAUGCACCAGCUAGCCCACACUCGCCAAGCAGAGUUAUAGGCCGCUCUGGUCCCUGGAGCCCAGGAGUUAUCCAUGAGUCUUGUAACGUUCUGUGGAAUGUCUGUGAAUGUCCAGGGACUCCGGAAAUCAACCAGACCGUGAGUUGCAGCAAGCCCUGAUUGAUUAGGUUGUGCGGAUUCCCCUCUGGGUCCAAUAGCAAGUCUGGUUUUGAUGGUAUUACUCGUGGAGAGUCGAUUGCCAUUUCUAGUAGACGAGGAAACCACGGCUGAGCGUGCCAUAGUGGAACCACUAUCACUAGUGAACAGUCCUGUGUGCAUAGGUAUGAUAGUGUCCUGGAAAUGAGAUUGAAAGGGGGAAAUGCGUAAUGCCGAGACUUCGGCCACGUCUGCAGGAAAGCAUCCGUCCCCGAGGCUGUUGGAUCUGGUCACCAGCUGAAGUAUCGAGGCAGAUGACUGUUCAGUCUGGAUGCAAAAAGGUCUACGUCCAGUGGUCCCCACAAUUCAUCUAUUUGGCAAAAGGUAGAGCGGAGAAGACGCCAGUCUCCCGGAUCUCGCAGAUAUCUGGAAUUCCAGUCCGCUUGUACGUUGUCCAAGCACGGAAUGUGUUCCGCUGUCACCGCAAUCUCGUUCUGAAGGCAAAACUGCCAAAAUUAUUUCGCUAGGUUUGCUAGUCGUUUGGAUUUAGUGCCUCCUAGAUGAUUGAUAUAACGGACUGCCGAGAUGUUGUCCAUACGGAGCAGUAUACAACAUCUCCCUACUGUAGGGGAGAGACUGCGGAUGGCGAACGAUCCUGCCAGAAGUUCCAGGCAAUUUAUGUGCAUUGUGGAUUCCUCCAUGGACCAUCUGCCACCGGUGUAUAUGUUGCCACAACGCGCGCCCCAGCCAUGGAGGCUUGCAUCCGAUUCUAUAAUCAGGUCCAGGCUGGUUCCGAAUAUUGCUCGACCGUUCCACGCCUCCAUAUGGUCUAGCCACCACCUCAGCUCCUCCCGUGAUUCUACAUCCAGGACUAGUGCGGAUUCGUACGAACGGCCGGACCUGAGGUGAGAACCUUUUAGCCGCUGUAGGGCACGAUAGUGUAGAGGCCCUGGGAAGAUGGCUUGUAUCGAGGAAGCCAGUAGUCCUAAGACUCGAGCUAGUUGUCGAAUAGAGAGAGAUUGAGCUCGUAAUGUGCGCCUGAUCUCUUUUUUGAUGGCCUUCAAUUUCGUUUCCGGGAGGAGUAAGAAUUGUGAGAUUGCGUCGAUCUGGAAUCCCAGGAACUCUAUCUUUUGGGCUGGAUUGGUUAUGGAUUUUUCCCAAUUUAUCAAAAAACCCAGAAUCUCGAGUAACGUGAUGGUCCACUGUAGGUGGAGCAGUACUUGGUCUUGUGAGGAUGCCAUGAUUAAAAUAUCGUCCAGAUAUAUGAUCAGACGAACUCCUCGUGCUCUGAGAAAGGCUACCACAGGCUUCAUGAGUUUUGUGAAGCACCAGGGCACUGACGAGAGACCGAAGGGCAGACAUGUAAAUCUCCAACGUCGCCCUUGCCAUGUGAAAUGCAAGAGGUCCCAGUGUGCCUCCGCAAUAGGGACAGUGAGGUACGCGUCCUUGAGGUCCAAUUUGACCAUCCAAUCAACCUGUUGUAGUAAAUCCCUGAGGCAAUGAAUGCCCUCCAUUUUGAAGUGUUGGUAUGCGAGGAACGCAUUGAGUUCCUUUAAGUUUAUGACUGGCCGCAUACCUCCGCCUUUUUUGGCUACCAAAAAUAAGUUGCUGGUAAAACCUGGUGUAUCGUAUGGGAUCUCUUGGAUUGCCCGUUUGGCAUGGAGAUCUGUAAUCUCCUUUGUUAUGAGUUUGGUUUGGUCUGGGGCCAGUGUCAGUUCUCUUGGGGCAUGGAUUUGGAAUGGGGUAGAUAUAAGGUCGAGAUAGAAACCCCUGACAGUUUGUAACACCCAAGCGUCUUUUGUGAGCUCGUCCCAUGCAUGCGCAAACAGCGCGAGCCUGCCCCCUAUGUGUAGAUGUGGAGGAAUGAGAGAGAUUGCACUUACCGUAAGGUCGCCUGUAAGUAGAUUGCCUGCGGCUUCCCUGAGAAGGCCAUGGACGUCCCCUGGACGGAAAGAAGGGUGACGGCCGGAACUCCUGGUACGUGCGGGGCGCUCCAAAGGAGCCUCUAUGGACCCUGGAGGGGCCCCGAUAGACUCGGCCGGGUGGACGGCUCCUAGAUCUCCCGGCCCCGUGCAAAACCUUGGGGUUAAACACUCUCUUAAGGUUGGCUUGAGCCUUAUCUAAAGUGGUAAAAGUUUUGACAAAAGCCCCGAUGUCCUUGACAAAGGACUCUCCAAAUAACAUUACCUGGGCUGUGGGUCCAGGUUCUCUAUUUGCCAAGUUAAUCAACUUAGGUUCAAUCUUAAGUAAAAUUGAUUUACGGUGUUCCGCCGAGAUGGCUGUGUUGGCAUUACCCAACAAGCAGAUAAGCCGUUGGACCCAUCCGAUGGCUACAUCGAAAUCAAUGGUGGACUCUCCCGCUUUAGCGGAUUCAAGUAAUUCAUAUAAUUUUGUGGUUGGCCCCAGGGUGUCUAGUAUUUUGUCUUGACAGCUGUGGAGUGAAAACUCCAGCCCCUUCUUGGGCUUCCAGCCAGAUUUUGAGAGGAAUUGGGCGAUAUGUGGGUCCACCAUGGGGGUUUUGCAGGCCAUGUCUGGUACGGAGGGUCUGGGACACUCUGCUCAGAGUUUAUUCCUACUCUCGUUAGAGAGAGGGGUACGCAGACGGAGCGCCAAAUACUGCGCAAUGUGCGUUGGCGGGUCCCACUCCGCCGAGCGAGGGUGGCGGAGGUUGUCCGGGUCGAACAGGGGAUACCCUUGAGGGUCCCAAACACCAUCCUCCACACCCGUCGGUUCCACUACAGGACUAGACUCCUCAUCUGAGUCGGAAGCCAUAGCAUUGUAAAUAUAAUCCGGGUCGUCAGACCCCAUCUCCUCACUAUUGUCAGAAUCUGACUCUUCGUAUUGGGCACGUGCCCGUUUCCAAUUUCUGGCCGCUUGCGCCCGACCAGUGGCUCUUGUGCGUGGCAACACGCCAUCUAGGACCGCCAUAGGCGGGUCAGUCAUGGCAGGGGAGACCUGCAUCAGUGGGAGCGUUGAUGUAUGCUUAGUCUUGGCUUUUGCCUUGCGGGCAGCAGGGACUGGUAUAUCAGUUUGGGCCGUUAUAGUAGGUUGCACUUCAGGGGGCAACAUGAGUGCCUGGGCCAGAGAAUGGGAUAGGGAGGUGGACACCGAGCCCAUGGCUGAAGCCAAGGCUCGCUGGACCGAACCAGCCAUAGUUGAUUCCAGGAGAGACUGGAAUUCCUGAGAGGGUAAAUGACCCGGGUCUAGGCCAGGGGUGGGUAAGGUAUUCUCUAUAUUAGGGCAUCCAGGGCCCCCAUGUCCAUCCCCGUGAUUUUGCAUUUUAUUAUCCAAUUCACCAAUGGGAAUGACUGAAUAGGUGUGCAACCAAUGGGAAUGACUGAAUAGGUGUGCUAGGCAGGGAGCAACAGGUCUGGAUAAAUCACACAGGGUUUUCCUUUAUUUUUGUUUUAUUUUUUUAUUUUUUUCGAGUUACUCUCAGUAAUGUCUGUAACAAACAAAAUCCCUUUUUUAUUUUUUAUUUUUUUUAAUUGGGAGAGAUGCCUUUAAAUUAACCCAGAAACCAAACCCCCAGCACACAGUCAGUUACAGACUAAAGUGCAGAAAAAACUUGUACAGGGGAACAACACAAACAAAGAGAACAGCAAGGCUAUAAGAAGGGUAGUGAGAAAGGGUUGAUUAACCCUUAGAAGCAAAUAUGGGAAAUAUAAACCAUACAACCUUGCCCACGGAGGGCAGCAGGAGCAACUAGGAGCUGUUCAGCCUUCCCGCGCUUCAGAGAAGAGAAGCGCGCCGAAGGCGAACUUGCUCCACCCCCCCCCUCCAGUAAUGGCCGCGAGGAGAGAACUCCCCGUGGCCCCAGACUGCCGGGCGGAAGUAAACCCGGCAGGGGAGAGGAGUGAGACAGAGCUGCUCGGCACCCGCUGGGAUGUCUAAGCGGGUGCCGGCAAUUACACAGAAGGGAGGGAGGGCACUAGUGAGACCGCAGACGCGCGGGCGGUGCGGUCUCACAGCCUGUCAGACCCCUCUCAGCCCUGGCAGUUAGUGAAAGCCAGGGAGAGAGGGAAAAUGUCUGAACCUAAGCAGAGCUAAGCACUGUAAUACUGACCCCUGAAACAGGGACAACAUGGAAAUGAACAAACAUGAAACAUUUAAACCAACAACAUUUAAAGUGAUAUUAACAAAAAAAUUAUGUGUGUAAUGAAAAGUGAAGAGUAUAGAAAAAAGUCACUUAUCUGAUCUGAGGAGCAGCAAGAAAGAGGAAGUUAGAAGACUGUUCAAGACACUUAAUGUUGAUAAAUGUAUAUGAUUGGCUGCCCUGUUACUAGGCAGAUUACUUAUGUUAUUUCGUUUUUAUUCUCUUUCAAGUUAAAUUCUUGCUGCUGAGGAGAAUAAUAAAAGAAAGAGAAAGCAUAAUA
This 5906-nucleotide long non-coding RNA is filed under the name Pelobates cultripes (western spadefoot toad). The record is from RNAcentral. Lineage: Eukaryota; Metazoa; Chordata; Amphibia; Anura; Pelobatidae.